ACACUGAGUGGUGGGGGUGCGUACGAUCGCACAGGAAGAAAGGGGCACAAACCCUAAUUCAAGAUAAACCUUCAAAUUGAAAGGGGAAACUGGCUCUAAUCGGAUGCAUGAACCUAGAUUCUUAAUCAUCUAGACUUUCUACACAUGAGCUUGACUCUUGACAAGCUAUAUGGGAUCUUGGAGAAGAAUGGGUUAAACGGAUCAAGUACGCAAAGAAGCUCUAAAGGACACAAAUCACUUGUUCAUAGGAGCGAAUAGCAAUUUGGAUACUUGCAUCGCCAUAAAGUUUCGGUUAAUAAAGCGAGGUAUAAAAACGGGUCUAUGCGUUGACUCGAGCCAGGUGGCGUGGACUUAGCAUCAUUACGAAGAAAAGAAGGUUUGAAGAUCGAGUCAAGAGCGAGGGUUGUACGGGAAGGAUCGGUCACAUAAUUUGACAAAAAAAAAUAUAUAGGUCUUGAAGUAUUAAUAUAACGGGACGUGGUAAAUCCUUUUUAAUGAGUGUAUGAAUUUUUUUAGUUGAACCUUCCUGUAAGUGUUAUGUCUAGUAAAUAACGAAAUUUUUGGGCUCUUA
Helianthus annuus (common sunflower) is the source of this 571-nucleotide long non-coding RNA. RefSeq lists it as uncharacterized. NCBI's taxonomy places the organism in Eukaryota, Viridiplantae, Streptophyta, Magnoliopsida, Asterales, Asteraceae. The transcript is spliced from 4 exons. The record is from RefSeq and is a predicted model, not a curated record.